GAAAUGCGAUAAGUAAUGUGAAUUGCAGAAUUCCGUGAAUCAUCGAAUCUUUGAACGCACAUUGCGCCCUCUGGUAUUCCGGGGGGGGCAUGCCUGUCCGAGCGUCAUUGCGAACCCCUCAAGCACGGCUUGUGUGAUGGGCCCUCCCGCGUCUUGGUCGUCAAGACGGGCCCGAAAUGCAGUGGCGGCUUCGCGGUUAUCCGAUCAGCCAGAGCGUAUGGGGACUCUCUCUCUUGUCACACGCCCGCGGCGCGGACCGACGCCUGUCGACCUUUAUUCAUCUUCUCUCGGUUGACCUCGGAUCAGGUAGGGAUACCCGCUGAACUUAAGC
This 331-nucleotide unclassified non-coding RNA is filed under the name plant metagenome. RNAcentral describes it as "partial contains 5.8S ribosomal RNA, internal transcribed spacer 2, and large subunit ribosomal RNA". The stretch from base 1 to 107 matches the Rfam family "5.8S ribosomal RNA", at positions 50 to 154 of the family's 154-position model. The record is from RNAcentral.